This 497-nucleotide ribosomal RNA is filed under the name uncultured bacterium. RNAcentral's name for it is "partial 16S ribosomal RNA". It matches the Rfam family "Bacterial small subunit ribosomal RNA", at positions 28 to 507 of the family's 1533-position model. The record is from RNAcentral.
GAUGAACGCUGGCGGCGUGCCUAAUACAUGCAAGUCGAGCGAACGGACGAGAAGCUUGCUUCUCUGAUGUUAGCGGCGGACGGGUGAGUAACAUGUGGAUAACCUACCUAUAGGACUGGGAUAACUUCGGGAAACCGGAGCUAAUACCGGAUGAUAUUUUGAACCGCAUGGUUCAAAAGUGAAAGACGGUCUUGCUGUCACUUAUAGAUGGAUCCGCGCUGCAGUAGCGAGUUGGUAAGGUAACGGCUUACCAAGGCAACGAUGCAUAGCCGACCUGAGAGGGUGAUCGGCCACACGGGAACUGAGACACGGUCCAGACUCCUACGGGAGGCGGCAGUAGGGAAUCUUGCGGCAGGGGCGAAAGCCUGACGGAGCAACGCCGCGUGAGUGAUGAAGGUCUCCGGAUCGUAAAACUCUGUUAUUAGGGAAGACCAUAUGUGUAAGUAACUGUGCACAUCUUGACGGUACCUAAACAGAAAGCCACGGCUAACUACGUG